RNAcentral lists this ribosomal RNA (433 nucleotides) under uncultured bacterium. RNAcentral describes it as "bacterial SSU rRNA". It matches the Rfam family "Bacterial small subunit ribosomal RNA", at positions 29 to 507 of the family's 1533-position model. The record is from RNAcentral.
AACGAACGCUGGCGGCAGGCCUAACACAUGCAAGUCGAGCGAGCAUUUCGGUGCUAGCGGCGGACGGGUUAGUAACGCGUGGGAACGUGCCCUUUGCUACGGAAUAGUCCUGGGAAACUGGGGGUAAUACCGUAUGUGCCCUUCGGGGGAAAGAUUUAUCGGCAAAGGAUCGGCCCGCGUUGGAUUAGGUAGUUGGUGGGGUAAUGGCCUACCAAGCCGACGAUCCAUAGCUGGUUUGAGAGGAUGAUCAGCAACACUGGGACUGAGACACGGCCCAGACCCCUACGGGAGGCAGCAGUGGGGAAUCUUAGACAAUGGGCGCAAGCCUGAUCUAGCCAUGCCGCGUGGACGAUGAAGGCCUUAGGGUUGUAAAGUCCUUUCAGCUGGGAAGAUAAUGACGGUACCAGCAGAAGAAGCCCCGGCUAACUCCGUG